Long non-coding RNA from Haliotis rubra (blacklip abalone), 219 nucleotides. RefSeq lists it as uncharacterized. NCBI's taxonomy places the organism in Eukaryota, Metazoa, Mollusca, Gastropoda, Lepetellida, Haliotidae. The record is from RefSeq and is a predicted model, not a curated record. The transcript has 3 exons.
UGCGUCAUGACCGACACACAACGCCGGCUAGCAAUCGCCUUCGUGGCUGCAGCCCUUGCAAGCACAGCUUAUGGAGGGUGGUGCCAGCGGACUCUGUGCACGUCUGUGAGAGAACGUGAAUGUAUCUUCAGAACAUGGCUGGAGUGCUGUCUCUACAGGAUUGUAUGGAGGACGGUUGUAAAGACAGAACGGUUCUGCUGCACAGGCUUCCGGGGCAGA